CCUACGAGGUGCAGCAGUGAGGAAUAUUGGUCAAUGGGCGCGAGCCUGAACCAGCCAAGUCGCGUGAGGGAAGACGGUCCUAUGGAUUGUAAACCUCUUUGGUCGGAGAGCAAAAGACGCCACGCGUGGCGUUCCGAGAGUACCCGAAGAAAAAACAUCGGCUAACUCCGUUCCAGCAGCAGCGGUAAUACGGAGGAUUCGAGCGUUAUCCGGAUUUAUUGGGUUUAAAGGGUGCGCCGGGGGAAGAUCAAGGCAGCGGUAAAAUUGAGAGGCUCAACCGCCUCGAGCCGUUGAAACUGGUUUUCUUGAGUGAGUGAGAAGUAUGCGGAAUGCGUGGUGUAGCGGUGAAAUGCAUAGAUAUCACGCAGAACUCCGAUUGCGAAGGCAGCAUACCGGCGCUCAACUGACGCUCAUGCACGAAAGUGUGGGUAUCGAACAGGAUUAGAUACCCCGGUAGUC
Molecule: ribosomal RNA, 459 nt
Filed under: uncultured bacterium
Lineage: Bacteria
Description: partial 16S ribosomal RNA
Rfam family: Bacterial small subunit ribosomal RNA
Source: RNAcentral